CCUACGGGAGGCAGCAGUAGGGAAUUUUGCGCAAUGGGCGAAAGCCUGACGCAGCAACGCCGCGUGAUUGAUGAAGCCCUUCGGGGUGUAAAGAUCUGUCAGUGGGGACGAAACUUGACGGUAUCUAACGAUUAAGCACUGGCUAACUCCGUGCCAACAGCCGCGGUAAUACGGAGGCUGCAAGCGUUACUCGGAAUUACUGGGCGGAAAGAGCGCGGAGGCGGGAUAGCAAGUCAGAUGUGAAAGCCUAUGGCUUAACCAUAGAACUGCAUUUGAAACUGGUAUUCUAGAGUCUGGGAGAGGUAGGUGGAAUUCUAGGUGUAGGGGUAAAAUGCGUAGAGAUAAAGAGGAAUACUCAUGGCGAAGGCGACCUGCUGGAACAUAACUGACGCUGAUGCGCGAAAGCGUGGGGAGCAAACAGGAUUAGAUACCCGUGUAGUC
RNAcentral lists this ribosomal RNA (441 nucleotides) under uncultured bacterium. RNAcentral's name for it is "partial 16S ribosomal RNA". It matches the Rfam family "Bacterial small subunit ribosomal RNA", at positions 338 to 795 of the family's 1533-position model. The record is from RNAcentral.